GACGAACGCUGGCGGCGUGCUUAACACAUGCAAGUCGAACGGAAAGGCCCAGCUUGCUUGGUCCUCGAGUGGCGAACGGGUGAGUAACACGUGGGUGAUCUGCCCUGCACUCUGGGAUAAGCCUGGGCAACUGGUCUUAUACCCGAUUAUCCCCUCCUUCCUAUGGUUGUUUGUGGGAAAUCUUUGGGGUGUUGGAUUGGCCCGCGGCCUAUCAGCUUUUUGGUGGGUUUAUGGCCUACCAAGGCGACGACGGGUAGCCGACCUGAGAGGGGGAGCGGCGACACUGGGACUGAGAGACGGCACAGACUGCGAAGGGAGGAAGAAGUGGGGAAGAUUGCACAAUGGGCGCAAGCCUGAUGCAGCGACGCCGCGUGAGGGAAGACGGCCUUCGGGGUGUAAACCUCUAGCACCAGGGAAGAAGCGUGAGUGACGGUACCUGGAGAAGAAGCACCGGCCAACUACGUG
RNAcentral lists this ribosomal RNA (465 nucleotides) under uncultured bacterium. RNAcentral's name for it is "partial 16S ribosomal RNA". It matches the Rfam family "Bacterial small subunit ribosomal RNA", at positions 28 to 507 of the family's 1533-position model. The record is from RNAcentral.